GAAAAGCCAAGGGUUGUCCAGUGUGAAGGAAGAGGCAGUACAAAAUGAAAGGUCCUGCUACCUACUAGCAAGCUUUCUAAAAACUUUUCCUUCUCACUCAAACUGGUGAUAGUCUGGCGGGUUUCUGAUCCAGGAUCCAAAUGCCUGCUUCCGGAGUGUACUCCAGGCCUCCUGAUGCCAACGUGAUGCUGGUAACAAACUGCACAGACUGCAACUUCAAGUCCCAGAGCCUUCAUGCCAAGUAGUGGUCACCCUCCACCCGCUUCUCUAGCCCCUGGUCACCACGCAUCUACGUGUCCAUGGAUUUGCCUCUUCAGGAUGUCUCACAAACAGGACAUCAUACAAUAUGUGGCUCAUUUCACUGCUAUGAACCCUGGUGUGUAAAGGGUGUGUGGCUGGAGAAAAACACAAAAGAGAGGUCUGGUCGGAGUUUCCACUGUCCUCUUUGAGUUCCUGGGACAAAGAUACUAUCCUCUUUCAGAUUGGCUGCCAAUUGGAGCUGAUGGAAAAGGUACCUAUGAGUCAUAAGACAUUAUAGAGUAAACAACCAAUUUCUAUAGCACACAGAAAGACUAUGGUACGGUGAUUGCUAAAAGAGAGUUUCUAUUGACCAAGGAGACUGGUAGUGAUGUGGAAUUAGAAUAAUUAGUCCAGUGUCUGCACCACAGCAUCAGCAGCACCUGGGAAUUUGUCAGAAAGGUAAUUUCUCAGACUCCACCCUGGAUCUGCUGAAUCUCUUGGGUACGUCUAGAAAUCUAGAUUGUAAUGAGCACCACUAGUCUAGACCCCAGUAGUUCACAGUGAUAUUAUAAUCUCUGUUCAGCGCUUAUCACAAAUGCAAAUAUUGUGACUUUGCCCCAGACCCACUGAAUCAAGACUCUCUGGAGUUGUGGUUUUACCUUUGGAAACUCCUUCUGGCUAUGACUUCGGCAUGGCUAUCAUUGAGGACAUCUCCUGUGGCAAAGAAAUGAUACUAAGUGAAGAAAUAUGGAACAUGGAGAGACCCUGAUUCCUAGAAACAGCAUACGGCAGCACCCUAGUGCUCAGUAUGGCCGUGUGGCUGUGUAGCCACUCUCAGAGAGCUUUGGCAGAAAAUACCAAAAUCAUUAACAGCAAUGCAUUAAUAGCAGGGUUUCUCAACCUAGCAUUGCAAACAUUCUGUACCAGAAAAUUCUUUGUUGUGGGAGUCUAGCCUGUGCAAUGUAGGACGUUUAGUAUCACUCCUAUCAUUACCUGUGAGAUGUGAGGAGCACCCUUCCCCUGGAUGUGUUAAUCAAAAAUAUUUCUACACAUUGCCAAAUAUCUCCCAGCUGAGAACCAGAUUUAUAGAAAAAUCUUUAUCUAGAGACCUUUUGUACCCUGGCAUCAUACUUGUGCUCAUGGUGAGACAUGUCCAUCUAAUUCAAUCCAGUGGUCCUGGAACAGUUCUAUCUUACAGAGGCGGCAAGACUAGGUGAAUACAGCAAGCAAACUCAAAGAGGAAUCUGCUAAGUGGAAGAGGAAGGUAAGGACCCCAGACCUCUAAGGGGCUUCCAUAUUCUUACUGGUACCAAAAGCUCCAUUUAAUUCAAAAUAACUUUCAGGGUGUCAGAAACCACUUGAGCUGCAUCCUCUACCUUCUCCAAAGCCCUAAAGCCUUGUAGACACGACAUGGAAUAGCUAAACGCAGGGAACCUGUGGUCUGAGCAUGAAAACUAGCUGGCUUUGGGUUCACUCAGCAUGUGGCUUUUGCUUCAGUGGUGGAUAUCCAUUCUUUUUUUGGGAUAUCCAUUUUUUAAAUAAGCAAGCACUGGUUUCCAAUGGGAGUAACAGUCAGCAGGAAAGGAAAGGUCUGUCACAUCCAACUGUUGUGGCCCCUUUUCCCUGACAAGGACACUGGUUUCCAAGGCUCCCAUGCAAUUCUUUGCUUAGAUUCUCACCCACGCUUACCGCUCUUCCUCAUUUUGGACUGGCCUAUGCAUUUCGUUCCUGUUCCCAUUGAGACAACUUCCUUUGUCACUGGGAGGAAAAAACAAAUCAUUAAGUGAGCUUUCACAGGCUGAAUGUUCCCCAGUGCCCAGGUUUAAUAUGUCUGCCGGCUUGUCCAUAGGAUUCCCACAGCUUGACUCAAACAGGACUGCAGUCCCAGCAGGGUGGUCUCCCACCACAGGAAGUACUGCGCCACCUGGUGGACAUACGGAAAACAAAAACACUUACAUCUAACCCAGCCCACAACUGUCACCAAAUAGCCCUGUAUAAUAAUGACAUGGAGAGAAAAGGUCUCACCUUGCACUGGUUUAUCAGGUGUGUCACAGCCCUGGUCAGGUGGAGAUUGGAUCUUCACUACGGCUGCCAAUAAAGUCCAUUCUCGAUUUGGCUCAGGCUUCCCUUGUUUGGGCAGCCUGAUCCUAUAGUGCUCAUAGCACAGUUGAGCAAUCUCAUCUGAGGUCCACAUGGUCAGAGGUGGGAUAGAGGCCCUGAUGGAAAGCCACAAUCAUCAGGAGUACAGGAAGGAGAACCAGCACAAGGUACUACAGCCUCACAACAGUUCUUCAACAAUCUUUCUAUGCUGUCCAAUUGUGUUCAGACUGAGGGUCCUCCAUCUGGAAUUUCAUUCAUUUUCCCCUACAUCCUUGCCCUCUUUUCAUCUGUGUGUGUGUGUUACUAGGGAAUGAAACCCUAGCCCUUUUUUAUGUUUUGACAGGAUCUUGCUAAAUUACUAAAUUGUCCAGUAUGGGCUCAAAUUGGAAUCUUUCUGCCUCAGCCUCCUAGAGUGCUGGGAUUACAGUCAUGAACUACCAUACCGGGUUCUCCUUUUCAUCUAUGAGAGAUUUAAGUUCCAAAUCCCACCAACCCCAGAAGAUACUUUUUUGGGAUACCUUAUUUCUUCAAGUUUCUGUUUUUAAUGUUAGAUGUCUGGUACAUAUCUAAUGAAUCAACAUAAAAGCAUAUGACAGCUCAUCAUACAAGAUUUAUCUUUGGUUUUUUUUUUUUGGUACCAGGAAUGGAACUUGGGACCUUGUGCAUGCGAGGCAGGCAGCAGCACCACUAGGCUAAAUCCCCGGCCCCUAAGAUUUAUCUUUCUGAACAGAUGUUCUUUUCCAUCCUCUUUUUAAGGAUGUAUCUUUCUCAUCUCUCCUCUACAGCAAAGGGAAUCUCUAACUCCCUCUAGUAAAUCACCACAGAGAUUUCUCACCAGUCCUUUUAUGCUCACAGUUGUGCUGAAGAAUGUGGGUUUUGGAGUUGCCCUUUGUGAAUGUUAAUUUUGGCUUUGUCACAAAUUAAACUAUGUGAUAUUGGAAAGA
Non-coding RNA from Heterocephalus glaber (naked mole-rat), 3284 nucleotides. The record is from RefSeq and is a predicted model, not a curated record. NCBI's taxonomy places the organism in Eukaryota, Metazoa, Chordata, Mammalia, Rodentia, Bathyergidae.